UACAGAGGUCCCGAGCGUUGUUCGGAUUCACUGGGCGUAAAGGGUGCGUAGGCGGUCGGGUAAGUCUGAUGUGAAAUCCCGCAGCUUAACUGCGGAACGGCAUUGGAUACUAUUCGGCUCGAGGAGUGGAGGGGAGACUGGAAUUCUCGGUGUAGCAGUGAAAUGCGUAGAUAUCGAGAGGAACACCGGUGGCGAAGGCGGUUCUCUGGGCCUGUACUGACG
Molecule: ribosomal RNA, 222 nt
Filed under: uncultured prokaryote
Description: partial 16S ribosomal RNA
Rfam family: Bacterial small subunit ribosomal RNA
Source: RNAcentral